Molecule: ribosomal RNA, 434 nt
Filed under: uncultured bacterium
Lineage: Bacteria
Description: bacterial SSU rRNA
Rfam family: Bacterial small subunit ribosomal RNA
Source: RNAcentral
UGAGGAAUAUUGGUCAAUGGUCGGGAGACUGAACCAGCCAAGCCGCGUGAGGGAUGAAGGUACAGAGUAUCGUAAACCUCUUUUGUCAGGGAACAAAAGGCGCCACGCGUGGCGCUCCGAGUGUACCUGAAGAAAAAGCAUCGGCUAACUCCGUGCCAGCAGCCGCGGUAAUACGGAGGAUGCGAGCGUUGUCCGGAUUUAUUGGGUUUAAAGGGUGCGUAGGCGGCGAGUUAAGUCAGCGGUAAAAGCCCGGGGCUCAACCCCGGCCCGCCGUUGAAACUGGCUUGCUUGAGUUGGAGAGAAGUAGGCGGAAUGCGCGGUGUAGCGGUGAAAUGCUUAGAUAUCGCGCAGAACUCCGAUUGCGAAGGCAGCCUACCGGCUCCAGACUGACGCUGAGGCACGAAAGCGUGGGUAUCGAACAGGAUUAGAUACCC